This 199-nucleotide ribosomal RNA is filed under the name uncultured bacterium. RNAcentral's name for it is "partial 16S ribosomal RNA". It matches the Rfam family "Bacterial small subunit ribosomal RNA", at positions 328 to 539 of the family's 1533-position model. The record is from RNAcentral.
ACGCUCGACACCUACGAGAGGCAGCAGUGGGGAAUAUUGCACAAUGGGGGAAACCCUGAUGCAGCGACGCCGCGUGAAGGAUGAAGUAUUUCGGUAUGUAAACUUCUAUCAGCAGGGAAGAAAGUGACGGUACCUGACUAAGAAGCCCCGGCUAACUACGUGCCAGCAGCCGCGGUAAUCUGAGGCGGGCUGGCAAGGC